This 460-nucleotide ribosomal RNA is filed under the name uncultured bacterium. RNAcentral's name for it is "partial 16S ribosomal RNA". It matches the Rfam family "Bacterial small subunit ribosomal RNA", at positions 338 to 795 of the family's 1533-position model. The record is from RNAcentral.
CCUACGGGGGGCAGCAGUGAGGAAUAUUGGUCAAUGGGCGCGAGCCUGAACCAGCCAUGUCGCGUGAAGGAUGACUGCCCUACGGGUUGUAAACUUCUUUUAUACGGGAAUAAAGUGAGGCACGUGUGCCUUUUUGUAUGUACUUUAUGAAUAAGGAUCGGCUAACUCCGUGCCAGCAGCCGCGGUAAUACGGAGGAUUCGAGCGUUAUCCGGAUUUAUUGGGUUUAAAGGGAGCGUAGGUGGGUUGUUAAGUCAGUUGUGAAAGUUUGCGGCUCAACCUUAAAAUUGCAUUUGAUACUGGCAGGCUUGAGAGUAGUUGAGGUAGGCGGAAUGCGGGGUGUAGCGGUGAAAUGCUUAGAGAUCACGAAGAACACCGAUUGCGAAGGCAGCUUACGAAACUGCUACUGACAUUGAUGCACGAAAGUGUGGGGAGCAAACAGGAUUAGAUACCCGAGUAGUC